RNAcentral lists this ribosomal RNA (468 nucleotides) under uncultured bacterium. Its description in RNAcentral is "partial 16S ribosomal RNA". It matches the Rfam family "Bacterial small subunit ribosomal RNA", at positions 28 to 507 of the family's 1533-position model. The record is from RNAcentral.
GACGAACGCUGGCGGCGUGCUUAACACAUGCAAGUCGAACGGAAAGGCCCUGCUUUUGUGGGGUGCUCGAGUGGCGAAGGGGUGUGUAACAUGUGAGUAACCUGCCCUUGACUUUGGGAUAACUUCAGGAAACUGGGGCUAAUACCGGAUAGGAGCUCCUGCUGCAUGGGGGGGGUUGGAAAGUUUAGGCGGUUGGGGAUGGACUCGCGGCUUAUGAGCUUGUUGGUGGGGUAGUGGCUUACCAAGGCUUUGACGGCUAGCCGGCAUGAGAGGGUGACCGGCCACAUUGGGACUGAGAGACGGCCCAGACUCCUACGGGAGGCAGCAGUGGGGAGUAUUGCACAGUGGGCGGAAGCCUGAUGAAGCAACGCCGCGUGCGGGAUGACGGCCUUCGGGUUGUAAACCGCUUUCGCCUGUGACGAAGCGUGAGUGACGGUAAUGGGUAAAGAAGCACCGGCUAACUACGUG